UCUCGAAGCUGCGGAUUGAUACCGAAUGGUAUCAGUGGUAGGGGAGCGUUCUAAGGACAGUGAAGUCAGACCGGAAGGACUGGUGGAGUGCUUAGAAGUGAGAAUGCCGGUAUGAGUAGCGAAAGACGGGUGAGAAUCCCGUCCACCGAAUGCCUAAGGUUUCCUGAGGAAGGCUCGUCCGCUCAGGGUUAGUCAGGACCUAAGCCGAGGCCGACAGGCGUAGGCGAUGGACAACAGGUUGAUAUUCCUGUACCACCUCUUUAUCGUUUGAGCAAUGGAGGGACGCAGAAGGAUAGAAGAAGCGUGCGAUUGGUUGUGCACGUCCAAGCAGUUAGGCUGAUAAGUAGGCAAAUCCGCUUAUCAUAAAGGCUGAGCUGUGAUGGGGAAGCUCCUUAUGGAGCGAAGUCUUUGAUUCCCCGCUGCCAAGAAAAGCUUCUAGCGAGAUAAAAGGUGCCUGUACCGCAAACCGACACAGGUAGGCGAGGAGAGAAUCCUAAGGUGUGCGAGAGAACUCUGGUUAAGGAACUCGGCAAAAUGACCCCGUAACUUCGGGAGAAGGGGUGCUUUCUUAACGGAAAGCCGCAGUGAAUAGGCCCAAGCGACUGUUUAGCAAAAACACAGCUCUCUGCGAAGCCGUAAGGCGAAGUAUAGGGGGUGACACCUGCCCGGUGCUGGAAGGUUAAGGAGAGGGGUUAGCGUAAGCGAAGCUCUGAACUGAAGCCCCAGUAAACGGCGGCCGUAACUAUAACGGUCCUAAGGUAGCGAAAUUCCUUGUCGGGUAAGUUCCGACCCGCACGAAAGGUGUAACGAUUUGGGCACUGUCUCAACCAGAGACUCGGUGAAAUUAUAGUACCUGUGAAGAUGCAGGUUACCCGCGACAGGACGGAAAGACCCCGUGGAGCUUUACUGUAGCCUGAUAUUGAAUUUUGGUACAGUUUGUACAGGAUAGGCGGGAGCCAUUGAAACCGGAGCGCUAGCUUCGGUGGAGGCGCUGGUGGGAUACCGCCCUGACUGUAUUGAAAUUCUAACCUACGGGUCUUAUCGACCCGGGAGACAGUGUCAGGUGGGCAGUUUGACUGGGGCGGUCGCCUCCUAAAGUGUAACGGAGGCGCCCAAAGGUUCCCUCAGAAUGGUUGGAAAUCAUUCGUAGAGUGCAAAGGCAUAAGGGAGCUUGACUGCGAGACCUACAAGUCGAGCAGGGACGAAAGUCGGGCUUAGUGAUCCGGUGGUUCCGCAUGGAAGGGCCAUCGCUCAACGGAUAAAAGCUACCCCGGGGAUAACAGGCUUAUCUCCCCCAAGAGUCCACAUCGACGGGGAGGUUUGGCACCUCGAUGUCGGCUCAUCGCAUCCUGGGGCUGUAGUCGGUCCCAAGGGUUGGGCUGUUCGCCCAUUAAAGCGGUACGCGAGCUGGGUUCAGAACGUCGUGAGACAGUUCGGUCCCUAUCCGUCGUGGGCGUAGGAAAUUUGAGAGGAGCUGUCCUUAGUACGAGAGGACCGGGAUGGACGCACCGCUGGUGUACCAGUUGUUCUGCCAAGGGCAUAGCUGGGUAGCUAUGUGCGGAAGGGAUAAGUGCUGAAAGCAUCUAAGCAUGAAGCCCCCCUCAAGAUGAGAUUUCCCAUAGCGUAAGCUAGUAAGAUCCCUGAAAGAUGAUCAGGUUGAUAGGUUCGAGGUGGAAGCAUGGUGACAUGUGGAGCUGACGAAUACUAAUAGAUCGAGGACUUAACC
RNAcentral lists this ribosomal RNA (1726 nucleotides) under Bacillus cereus. RNAcentral describes it as "bacterial LSU rRNA". It matches the Rfam family "Bacterial large subunit ribosomal RNA", at positions 1192 to 2925 of the family's 2925-position model. The record is from RNAcentral. Lineage: Bacteria; Bacillati; Bacillota; Bacilli; Caryophanales; Bacillaceae.